UUCGUGGGCAAAACUACCAACGCUACACCCAUAGCAUCACAGAAUCACUACUGCCAUACCCACAACAUCACAGAACUCAUCGCACCACCCCCACUAUAUCACAAAACCACUACUGCCACAGCCACCGCACAACCGUCACAAGUACAGUAUCACAAAACCACCACCGCCACACCCAUAUCAUCACAAAACUCAUGCAACCACAGCACUACUGCCACACUUACAACAUUUACAGUGGCAUACCACCGC
This 246-nucleotide long non-coding RNA is filed under the name Olea europaea (common olive). RNAcentral describes it as "long non-coding RNA (OEUR_LNC007713)". The record is from RNAcentral. Lineage: Eukaryota; Viridiplantae; Streptophyta; Magnoliopsida; Lamiales; Oleaceae.